UACAACAAUAUAUGUAGUCUCUUAACUGUCAUUUUGUUACCGAACGGGCUUCUGCUAAAACCUUCCGUGUACGUGGAAGAGAGAAAUUACGUCGUCAGCGAAAGGCACAAGGCUCGAAAUUUUUGGAGAGGGUCCAGUCGAUUAGAUCGACCCCAGUACUCAACUGGUACUUAAUUUAUCGACGCCGAAAGAAUGAAAGGCAAAGUUGACCUCGGUGGAAUUUGAACUCAGAACGCACAAGGCCCGAAAUUUUUGGAGAGGGGACCAGUCGAUUAGAUCGAACCCAGUACGUAACUGGUACUUAAUUUAUCGACGCCGAAAGAAUGAAAGGCAAAAUCGACCUCGGCGGCAUUUGAACUCAGAACAUAAAGACA
Long non-coding RNA from Octopus bimaculoides (California two-spot octopus), 374 nucleotides. Lineage: Eukaryota; Metazoa; Mollusca; Cephalopoda; Octopoda; Octopodidae. The record is from RefSeq and is a predicted model, not a curated record.